GCGCCUGUAGCUCAGCCGGCAGCAGCGCACGGUCGAUAACCGUGAGGUCGCAGGUUCGAAUCCUGCCAGGCGCA
Molecule: transfer RNA, 74 nt
Filed under: Chloracidobacterium sp.
Lineage: Bacteria; Pseudomonadati; Acidobacteriota; Blastocatellia; Chloracidobacteriales; Chloracidobacteriaceae
Description: tRNA-Ile
Rfam family: tRNA
About the family: Transfer RNA (tRNA) molecules are approximately 80 nucleotides in length.
Source: RNAcentral